CUGCCAUUGCCUCUGCCUCUCCUCCACAGCAGCAGCAGUAAGAGCAGCAAUAGCCCAGCUGUCUGUCCAUCCUACCUUGGCUUUGCCUGUCUCCAUCCUGUUCUUCUUCCUCUGCAACUGGAAUAUGGCUUUCCGGGAAGAAUGAAUCUGAUGUGCUUGCUGGAGCAACCGGGAGAGGAUAGACAGGAAAGAAAGACAUUUGCACAUAAAAGUGGGAUCCCGGUUCCCUGUGCAGCCACAUAAACUGUUGUCCUGGCACAGGAAAGUGUUGAUAGAGAUGAGUCAUAAAAGAAAAGAAAUUUUCAGUUCAGAAAAUCCUAACACAGCAAGGAAGAAUAUUUUUUCAAAGGCAUGAAGAUCCAUAAGGCACCUAACUGACGUCUUUGAAAAUCUGUCCUGAAUGCAUGCUACGUGGUUGACAUUACUUCCAUCACAGGAAACAUUUUCUUUUCCGAAUUUUUAAAUCCAGCUAAAGACUAAUUUUUUACCCACAGAAAAGACUGUGGUUGUGUACUGACUUUGUGAGCACAUUUUGCAAACAUAUCAACUGCCUUUUUCUGAAAGAAUAGCCUUCUCUAUCAGUUUCAGCUGAAAGCCUUCAGUCCUGGAGUUUAAGAUUAUAUCAUCUUUAUUUUGCCUUUACAGACAUACAUCUUAGGGUGUACUGAGGAGCAGAUUCAAAUCCACUGUAUUUAC
Molecule: long non-coding RNA, 696 nt
Filed under: Struthio camelus australis
Lineage: Eukaryota; Metazoa; Chordata; Aves; Struthioniformes; Struthionidae
Description: lncRNA (ENSSCUG00000003259.1)
Source: RNAcentral